Molecule: ribosomal RNA, 200 nt
Filed under: uncultured bacterium
Lineage: Bacteria
Description: partial 16S ribosomal RNA
Rfam family: Bacterial small subunit ribosomal RNA
Source: RNAcentral
GACGAACGCUGGCGGCGUGCUUAACGCAUGCAAGUCGAACGAGGUCCAUCCAGCUUGCUGGUGAAGACCGAGUGGCGAACGGGUGAGUAACACGUGAGGAACCCACCCCCGGAGACCGGGAUAACCCUCCGAAAGGAGGGCUAAUACCGGAUGUCGUCGGAGGAUCGCAUGUUCUUCCGACGAAAUGGAUUCCGCUCCGG